UACGGAGGUGGCGAGCGUUGUUCGGAAUUACUGGGCGUAAAGCGUGCGUAGACGGUUAUUUAAGUCGGGUGUGAAAGCCCCGGGCUCAACCUGGGAAUUGCAUUCGAGACUGAAUAGCUAGGGUACGGUAGAGGGAAGCGGAAUUUCCGGUGUAGCGGUGAAAUGCGUAGAUAUCGGAAGGAACAUCAGUGGCGAAAGCGGCUUCCUGGACCAGUACCGACGUUCAGGCACGAAAGCGUGGGGAGCAAACAGG
This 253-nucleotide ribosomal RNA is filed under the name uncultured bacterium. RNAcentral's name for it is "partial 16S ribosomal RNA". It matches the Rfam family "Bacterial small subunit ribosomal RNA", at positions 524 to 776 of the family's 1533-position model. The record is from RNAcentral.